UUCAUCUGUCACGUGGGUGGCCGGUCUUGGUCGCCUCUCCACGGUGCUCCACCUCCCGGCUGAUUUUUCUCCUGAGGUUUUCCUUUCUGUCUUGGUUGUCGGAGAGGCUGCACACAGCUCUGGACGCUGGAUUCUAGGCCAUUGCUUCCUGGGCCCUUUGCUCCAUUCAUGGAGGAACCGCCAGGAGGCAUUGGGUACCAAGCUGGACAUGGGAUGGAGAAAGUGAGCAGGAAAGACACAGCAGCAUGGGGUGAGGCUUCCUGAGGACCUGGCGGGCAAGGAGCUGCCCGUGAGGGAAGGCCGGGUGCUGCCAGCUGAGACACAGUAGUGAGGUCAUCUUCUUUAAGCUACCUGCCUGCUCUCUCAGAGCCAGCUUCCCCACCCAGAAAAUGGAAGACGUCACGACCUGGUCUCCCUGCCUCCUCCUUAGCCUCUGAUGCUUCCUUUCCUACACAUGAGCUGGAGUGAUUCUGUAAGACCUAAGUUAGCCCCUAACUUUGUUCUGCUCAAAACCUUCUAGUGGCUUCUCACGUCAUCCUGAAUCAACAUAAAGUCUUUAUUAACACUAAGUCCUGCAGGUUCCAGCAGCUCUCCCUCCCUCCGCCAACCUCCUCUCCCCAACAACCCCUUCUGCUGUAGCCACGCUGAGCAGCUCACUCUUGCACACAAAGACACCUGCCUCAGGGCCUUCACACUGGCUGUUUUAUUCCCGCUGCCUGGAAGAUCUCCCCCUACACCCUCCUCCCACACGUCCUUCCGACCUUGCUCAAAUGCCUCCUCCUUUGAGAGGCUGCCCCCAAUACCCCUCUCUCCACCAUCACUCUUUGUCCCCUGACCCUCUCAUUUGCCUUCCACUUGAUACAAUGUAUCUUUUUCCAUUUCCUGUUGGUUCUCUUCUAUUCUGUUCAUGGCUGGAUCUCUACACCUAGCCCAGCACCCGGCAUAUAGUAGCUGCUCAGUGAAUAUUGGUGAAGUGUGUGGAAUUAGUUUAAUCCCAUACCCCUCGGGAAGCCUCUGAAGAUGGAAUCUUGGAAGAAAUUCACUGGAAAUGGACAUUUCUCCAGGCUGUUGCACUUGAAGAGUGAUUUCCUGCUGGGAGAACCAGUCCCCCCACCACGUUUGCCACCAUCAGAACUGCCUGAGAGGGCCCAGUGAGUGUCUGAAUCACCAUGGCAAACCUUACUUGAAUGUUUUGGAGAUUUCUGCUGAUCGUGACGGACUGGAUUUAGGGGGAAUCCAGCCAUGGUUUCCAGCCAUGUUGCUCAGAUGCUGGGAGGUGGAGAGAAUCCCGCUGAGGUUCUCACCUCCAUUCUCCAGGGCAUUUCUGAAAGCAGAGUUUCCGUCUCAUCGUUGAGCCAAGCAUCCCAUUAGAGCUCAGAAAUGACAUACGAAAACCAUAAAAACAGGCAUUGCCCUGUGAGGCGACAAUUCUGCUUUUAGGAAUUUAUCCUAAAGAAAUAACUAAUGAUGUGAUUAUAAAAGAAUUAGCUCCAAGGACAUUCAUCACAAGCCUGUUUAUAGAUUGAGAAACUGGAAACAAGCUAAAUGUCCAACAAAAAGGGGUUCGUUAAAUGUGGCACAACUGUGCAAUGGGAGACUAAUGACGACCUCAUGAAAUACCACAGCCUGGGGUCGAAGCUAGCCCACCUCCUGUUUUUGUAAAUAAAGUUUUAUUGGACAUAGCCACACCCAUUAAUUUACAUAUCAUCUGUGGCUGCUUCUGCACUAAAAUGGCAACAUUGAGAAGUUGCAGCAGACACCGUAUGGCCCACAAAGCCGAGUAUAUUUACUGUCUGGCACUUUACAGAAGAUGUUUGCAGACUCCUGCUAUUGGAUGACAAGGAAAAAUUCGUAAUGCCCUGCCCAGUAGGAAUAUGUUACAAAACUGUGCAAUUUUCAUAAUCCCAGUGGUGACUUAAAAGGACUGUGUAUAUACAUAUAUGUAUUUUUUUUCUUUGUGUCAUGGAAUUUUGAAUGAUUUGGAAGAGCAUACCUAUAUUUUCUAACUUUACCUGCUCCUGAACACAGCCUGAGGCAACUUACUUCCAUCCUGGUCUCAAUUCCUGCCAUGUCCAGUGCUUCCUGGGACGACUCUGGAUGGUGGUGGCCUCCAAGAUGCCCCCCGAGGCCUCUGCCUUAUGUGGCCCUCACUGAAUCACAGCUGAUCCAGGUGACCAGUAGAGUAGAAGGUGAUGCUGGGUGACGUCUGAGAUUGGGUCACAGAAAGACUUCCAGCCUCACUGUGGUCUCUCAGAAGCUCUGACUUAGGAGCUCUUCGCUGCCCUAUGGGAAAUCGGUUUCCUCAUGUCCACCAUGCUGGAGACACCCCAGGAGGGUCUAUGUGAAGAGACAGAAAUGCCAGCCCCAGCCACUCCAGGCACCUAGAAGACGCCUCUGACAACAUGGAGCAGAGAUGAGUCAUCCUCACAGAGCCCUAUCCAAACUGCAGACGCAUAAACAAAAUAAAUGGCUACUGCUGUUUUAAGCCAAUAAGUUUUGGAGCUGUUUGUUACACAGCAGUGGAUAACGAGAAACCCUGCCAGAUAACAAGCUGUCCUUGAAUCCCGAUCUCAGAGUCUGUUUCUAGGUAACCUCACCCAAGCCCUCUGUGAGCAUCUAAUGAGUCGUGCGUGCAGUAGCUGUCCUGGAACGCAUGCUAUCGUCGGUGACUAUUCAUGUCUCAAUGCUAACCUACCCCAAGAGCUUUACAGAGAUGUCCAACCACACUUUAACAGGAGCACUGCACAGCACCUGGCCAGGGGCCAAAGGGAGUAGGGACUCUGGCAAGCUGGAGGACAUGGGGGCAGUGGAGAAAGUGGCUCUCACCAAGCCUUCACAAGAUGCUGCAUAUUUUUCUUGGGCCAGAGUCACUAACCAAAAUGUAGCUGGAGGCACAUAGAAUUCACAUGCAAUGAUGCUUCGCACAAGGCCACAGCAAAUUGAAAUCACUUGGCAGCUGCACCCUGGGGCUCUGUGAUGGUGCCUGUCACCAAGAUCGUGGACUGAGGUCCAGCUCAGUCUGUACCCCACAGCAGCACCUCAUCUGUGGAAAGGGCUGCAGAUGUGGGGAGAAGAGGGCCUACCCUUUUAGAAGAGGCCAAAAAGUCAGAAUUUCAAGCUAGAGUGGAAAGACACACUGCAGGGGAGCUGCCAGGAAGAAGAGUGAUUUGAUUUCUUAACGGGAGACUCCAAAGGAGUCAGCCCGCGGAGACAAAAUCAAAAGAGGCCCGGACUUGGGAGCACAGCCUGGGAACGCAGGCGGGGGCCUCUGGGACUCUUCCAGCUCAGACCAGGCCUGUGUCUGGGGCUUCUGGGGGCAGCCUGGGAACUGGAAUUUUCUUGUUCCAUAAUGGACUUCUCGGACCCUGCAGGUGGCCUGCCCGGGAUGGCACUCCCUGUGGUAUCAGUGGCUCCUGUCACGGAGGGCACAUGCUGGCUCCAUGCUCAGGCUGUCCUGUAAAUCAUCUCACCGAAUCCCCACUGUGUCCUUACAGAGCAAGCACGCAUGCCUGUGUCCUCCAGAGAAGCAAGCCAGGCCCGAGGAAUGGGCGGCCGAUGGCUCCAGGAAGGUCACUGACUUUGGAGGGAACUUGGGAUCUCCUCCCCACUCUCUCUGUCCUCAAGGCCCAUCUUUUUAAAAUCAACUUUUUGGGAUGUAAUUGACAUAUAAUAAAACCAUCUUAGGUGUACAGCUUGAUGAAUUUUGUCCCACGUAUACAGCUGGGUAACGACAGGAAUCUGGACAUGAGGUUUGCGUGGGCAGCCAAGCUGGGGCCUCAGGAUGCCCUUCGUUCUGAACUUGGCUGCCAUGCCAGGGCCUCGGGAUGCCCUUCCUUCUGAACUUGGCUGCCUGGCCAUCUCACAGUUCCACUUUGUCAACUCUUUGAAGUCUGGGAGAAGUGACUCACCUGAAUUUUUUUUCUUUUCUACAUUCCCACCAUUGUCCCAUCUCCUUCCCUGCUUUGGACAAAGAUUUCUCUUUUCCACGUGAUGGGAGGGGGAUUGUAAACAUCCCAAGCUUUGGAAUCAAAAGACCUAGGCUCACACCGCAGCCCUGCUAUGUGACUCCGGGCACGUGACUUAACUUCUCUGGGCUCCUUUCUUCAUCUGUGUAAAACAGAGAUCAUAAUGGACCCUCUAAGGUCAUUGGGAGACUAAAAGGAGGUAUUAUAUGCAAACAAUAAAUAUUAUUAUUUUGAAUUGCACUGGCUUUAAUGACACAAAUGUGAAGAAAAGGGUAGGAUUGUAGGGGAAGCCUGGGAAAAGGAGAGAUUAAAAGACAAAAACAAUUUCAACUUUUCUGAAAA
This 4307-nucleotide long non-coding RNA is filed under the name Homo sapiens (human). RNAcentral describes it as "HSALNT0234948". The record is from RNAcentral. Lineage: Eukaryota; Metazoa; Chordata; Mammalia; Primates; Hominidae.